RNAcentral lists this ribosomal RNA (301 nucleotides) under uncultured bacterium. RNAcentral describes it as "partial 16S ribosomal RNA". It matches the Rfam family "Bacterial small subunit ribosomal RNA", at positions 509 to 807 of the family's 1533-position model. The record is from RNAcentral.
CAGUCGCCACGGUAAUACGGAGGGUGCAAGCGUUAUCCGGAUUUAUUGGGUUUAAAGGGUCCGUAGGCGGAUCUGUAAGUCAGUGGUGAAAUCUCACAGCUUAACUGUGAAACUGCCAUUGAUACUGCAGGUCUUGAGUAAAUUUGAAGUGGCUGGAAUAAGUAGUGUAGCGGUGAAAUGCAUAGAUAUUACUUAGAACACCAAUUGCGAAGGCAGGUCACUAAGAUUUAACUGACGCUGAUGGACGAAAGCGUGGGGAGCGAACAGGAUUAGAGACCCGAGUAGUCCCUGUCUCUUAUAC